CAGAGUUUUGGACCUGGCUCAGAAUCAACGCUGGCGGCGUGCCUAACACAUGCAAGUCGAACGAGAAAGUGGAGCAAUCCAUGAGUAAAGUGGCGACCGGGUGAGUAACACGUGACUAACCUACCCUGGAGUGGGGAAUAACCUUCCGAAAGGAGGGCUAAUACCGCAUAAAGUCCUGAGGCUGAGAUGCCAUAGGACCAAAGGAGCAAUUCGCUUUGGGAGGGGGUCGCGGCAGAUUAGCUAGUUGGUGAGGUAAUGGCUCACCAAGGCAUUGAUCUGUAGCCGGCCUGAGAGGGCGCACGGCCACACUGGAACUGAAACACGGUCCAGACUCCUACGGGAGGCAGCAGUGGGGAAUUUUGCGCAAUGGGGGAAACCCUGACGCAGCAACGCCGCGUGGAGGAUGAAGGUCUUUGGAUUGUAAACUCCUUUCGAUCGGGACUGUAUUAUGACGGUACCGGAAGAAGAAGCCCCGGCUAACUGCGCAGACGUACUGG
Molecule: ribosomal RNA, 497 nt
Filed under: uncultured Acidobacteriaceae bacterium
Lineage: Bacteria; Pseudomonadati; Acidobacteriota; Terriglobia; Terriglobales; Acidobacteriaceae
Description: bacterial SSU rRNA
Rfam family: Bacterial small subunit ribosomal RNA
Source: RNAcentral